RNAcentral lists this ribosomal RNA (600 nucleotides) under uncultured bacterium. Its description in RNAcentral is "bacterial SSU rRNA". It matches the Rfam family "Bacterial small subunit ribosomal RNA", at positions 96 to 804 of the family's 1533-position model. The record is from RNAcentral.
CGGCGCACGGGUGAGUAACACGUGGAUAAUCUACCUUUGGAUUGGAAUAACCUGUCGAAAGACGGGCUAAUGCCGAGUAAGCUCUCGGAGACGUAAGUCUCUGCGAGGAAAGAUGGCGCAAGCUAUCGCCGAUGGAUGAGUCUGCGUCCCAUUAGCUAGUUGGUGAGGUAACGGGUCACCUAGGCGACGAUCCCCAGCUGGUCUGAGAGGAUGACCAAGCAACUGGAACUGAGACACGGUCCAGACUCCUACGGGAGGCAGCAGUGGGGAAUAUUGCCCAAUGGGCGCAAGCCUGAUGCAGCCAUGCCGCGUGUAUGAAGAAGGCCUUCGGGUUGUCAAGUACUUUCAGCGGGGAGGAAGGUGUGUGGUUAAUAACCACAGGCAAUUUGACGUUAACCCGCAGAAGAAGCACCGGCUAACUCCCGUGCCAGCAGCCGCGGUAAUACGGAGGGUUGCAAGCGUUAAUCGGGAUUACUGGGCGUAAAGCGCACGCAGCGGUCCUUGGGUCCAAAGGUCCGGCAUUGUUGAAAAAUUCCCCCGGGGGCUCAAAACCCUUGGGNGAAAACUGGCUUUUCCGGAAAACUUGGGACCAAGGGCUUA